AUAAAAGUGGCAUGGAAGAGCUGCAGCCUAGAGGGGGACAGGUGUGAGAGGCCAUAAUGAGUGAGUAAGUCCUGUAGGCGGUGGGGUGACUUCACUGUCGUUGGUUGGCCAAAGGUAAGUUUGGAACUUUCUUGGGCUAAGAGAGAAGCAGCCACCAGAGCACGUAAACAUGUAGGCCAGCCUCGGACUGUGUAAUCAAGCUGUUUAGACAGGUCUCCCUUCAGAGUUCCAGCCACAUAUUCCCCUUCUCAGCGGGAACCUGCCUAUGCUGUCUCACAGACACCAACGCUGAACUGGUGGUCUCUCCCACACAUUUACUCCUUUCCCAAAUAUUCACCAUUUUUCACCACAGUUUUGAUUACUACUUGUAUAUACAUGCAGACCUGCAUACACGUGUUCUUAUGUGAGGAAAUAUAUAAAAAUGUUUAUAUAUGUGUGUGUUUACACAUAUAAGGCAGAAGCCUUAGCAUUUUAUUUUGUGCUGUAUCUCUAGUGCCUGCAGUAGUGGCUGAUGUAAAACAGAUACUCAAUAAAUAUUUGUCAAAUGGACAAAUUUCCUGCUGGAACAAUAAUUGGGGCCAGAGCAAUGCAGUGUAUUGGUUGCUUAUAUCUUGGUC
Molecule: long non-coding RNA, 617 nt
Filed under: Heterocephalus glaber (naked mole-rat)
Lineage: Eukaryota; Metazoa; Chordata; Mammalia; Rodentia; Bathyergidae
Description: lncRNA (ENSHGLG00000048793.1)
Source: RNAcentral